Molecule: RNase P RNA, 341 nt
Filed under: Eubacterium oxidoreducens
Lineage: Bacteria; Bacillati; Bacillota; Clostridia; Eubacteriales; Eubacteriaceae
Description: Bacterial RNase P class A
Rfam family: Bacterial RNase P class A
About the family: Ribonuclease P (RNase P) is a ubiquitous endoribonuclease, found in archaea, bacteria and eukarya as well as chloroplasts and mitochondria. Its best characterised activity is the generation of mature 5'-ends of tRNAs by cleaving the 5'-leader elements of precursor-tRNAs.
Source: Rfam by way of RNAcentral
CGAGUGGAACAGGUGAUCGCGGCUGUCAUAUGACAGGUGAGGAAAGUCCGGGCUUCACAGGGCAGGAUGCCGGAUAACGUCCGGUAAAGGCGACUUUAAGGAUAGUGCAACAGAAAUAAACCGCUGCAGAUGAUGCAGUAAGGGUGGAAAGGCAGUGUAAGAGACUACCGCCUGGCUGGUAACAGACAGGGGCAUAUGUAAACCCCAUCCGAAGCAAGACCGAAACAAAGCGAUGACGUGGCCCGCCAGCUUUAGGUAGGUCGCUUGAGGCUGUUGGCGACAGCAGUCCUAGAUAGAUGAUCACUCAACGACAUAACCCGGCUUAUCGUUUCGCUCGUUUU